AUACUAAUACCAAAUUGGCUCGAAAAUAGCAUUGUGUGAUAUUAUUUUUUUUGGGUAAGUAGCAUAAGUUCCUGUGUAAUUCUAAUCUUGGUGCUCUUCUCUCAAGCAAUCCAUAGAAUCUCAAGCAACUUGACGUGCGAUGUUAUCAAUUAGUUGAUCUAUUAGUGUGUCUAAAACAUAUUAACAUUCAUAUUAAACUUUACAUAAGUCACCUCACAUCAUUGUUACAAAAUGAGCUUAACUAAUUAACACAUUGGCUUUAUUAUCUCACAUAUUAAUAUUAUUAACUCAAACACUCAAGAUUAUAAAAAAUAUCACGUAAAAGCAUUCAAACAUCCGAAGAUCGAAAGAAACACAUAUUCUUGCAUUAAAAGCUAUCGCAUUGAAUAAUGAAAUACCAGCCUUAAUAUCUUGCAAUAUAGCUUUUAAAGAAUCCAUUUGGAACUCCAAAUCUUGUCCCUUCUUUAAAUAACCUCAAUUGUUUGUUUAAAUGUCACUUUACCAAAAUAACUCUCUCCUAAAAGAACUUAAAUGUAAGCCCGAGAAAUCAAAAAAUUAUCCAAAAGCAUAGUUGUGUAGAAACAAUUCUCUGCAACAACUCAAAAUUAGGAUUACUGUUCACAUUUAGUUUAACUAACACAAAAUUAAUUGAAAAGAAGUGGCUUCAUGCCCUCAUCUUUUGUUCAGAAAAGGAAUUCACAAGAAUGCUACAACCAAUAAAGAAGGUAAAAACUGAACCAUAUGUCUAGAAGUCUUGUUGAUCAAAUAUAUAUCAUCAGAUAAGAAAAAUAAAGUUAGAUAUACAUGCCAACUAAACCUUUGCCAUUCAACACUUUUUAGCUACUUUUUAUACAAAAAAAACGCCAGCAACUAAUGCUUGUUGCACCUGAAAUUGGUACAUCAUAAACUCACACAUAAUUCAAGAUAAGUCGAAUAACUCCAAUCAGGAUUGAUUACUAAUAUUUUUUUGUCUAAUGACAUAACAAAAAAGCUAAAAGGCUCAUACUAUCUGUAAAAAGUCAUCGCAUUGGUAAAAAAUUGACAAUAUACUUUAUAUUUGACGCAUGUAAGGUGUAUUCAUUACUGGAAGCACCAAGAAAGUGCUGAUUUACGAAAGAUAAAAGAAACUGGAGAUCCAAGAGCACACACAAUAAAUGAUUGAUAGGUUUAUCUCUAAAAUUAAUUGCCACAACAAAAACAGAAAGAAAUUUAAAAUAUAUGCCUAAUCUUCGUGGAAAGGUUUUCUAAUGCUUCUAUAAGGUAGGAGUACUUUAAACAUACUUGUUUAAAGUAUGCAAGAAUAUGUGUGUCAACAAACUUCAUACAAUAGAGGAGCAGAAAGCUAUGACUUUUCUGCUGAAGCCACUGGAUAUGGCGGCAAAGUUGCCGGUAAUGUCAUUUUUUACUGCACGCUCUACCAUUUGACUCUGAUUAUAAAGCUCAUUUGUCAUUUUUAUUGUAUUGCUAUUAUUGUAUUGCUGUUAUUUUAUUAUGCAUUUUUAUGGUACUAAUAUAUCGGUUUCGGUUGCUUUUUGAGUCGAUGGUCUCCUGGAAACAGCCUCUCUACCCUUCGGGGUAGGGGUAAGGUCUGCGUACAUAUUACCCUCCCCAGACCCCACGUGUGGGAUUAUACUGGGUUGUUGUUGUUGUUGUAACAUCCCCAAUUUAGAAUCUUAUGUAAAAAUUAUAGAAUCCCAGAAACUACAGAAUCAUAAUUACCAAUUUAUAACCAAAAAAAUAAAUGCAAACACUUAAAUUAAUCAAUUACCUUUCUAAAGCAAAGUUGGACCUUUAGAGUAAGCUAAACCCAACUUGUGUAUUCAAAUACUUGGUUAAGAACUCCAUGAAUCGAACUGAAAUGUCAAGCAACGCCACUUUAAAGAAACCUAACGGCAGAAAUGAAG
Molecule: long non-coding RNA, 1904 nt
Filed under: Nicotiana tabacum (common tobacco)
Lineage: Eukaryota; Viridiplantae; Streptophyta; Magnoliopsida; Solanales; Solanaceae
Description: long non-coding RNA (NTAB_LNC001235)
Source: RNAcentral